AUACGAAGGGGGCUAGCGUUGUUCGGAAUUACUGGGCGUAAAGCGCACGUAGGCGGAUAUUUAAGUCAGGGGUGAAAUCCCAGAGCUCAACUCUGGAACUGCCUUUGAUACUGGGUAUCUUGAGUAUGGAAGAGGUAAGUGGAAUUCCGAGUGUAGAGGUGAAAUUCGUAGAUAUUCGGAGGAACGCCAGUGGCGAAGGCGGCUUACUGGUCCAUUACUGACGCUGAGGUGCGAAAGCGUGGGGAGCAAACAGGAUUAGAUACCCUUGUAGUCC
This 274-nucleotide ribosomal RNA is filed under the name uncultured bacterium. RNAcentral describes it as "partial 16S ribosomal RNA". It matches the Rfam family "Bacterial small subunit ribosomal RNA", at positions 523 to 796 of the family's 1533-position model. The record is from RNAcentral.